Molecule: ribosomal RNA, 432 nt
Filed under: uncultured bacterium
Lineage: Bacteria
Description: partial 16S ribosomal RNA
Rfam family: Bacterial small subunit ribosomal RNA
Source: RNAcentral
AACGAACGCUGGCGGCAUGCCUAACACAUGCAAGUCGAACGAGACCUUCGGGUCUAGUGGCGCACGGGUGCGUAACGCGUGGGAACCUGCCCUUAGGUUCGGAAUAACUCCCCGAAAGGGGUGCUAAUACCGGAUAAUGUCUUCGGACCAAAGAUUUAUCGCCUUUGGAUGGGCCCGCGUUGGAUUAGCUAGUUGGUAGGGUAAAAGCCUACCAAGGCGACGAUCCAUAGCUGGUCUGAGAGGAUGAUCAGCCACACUGGGACUGAGACACGGCCCAGACUCCUACGGGAGGCAGCAGUGGGGAAUAUUGGACAAUGGGCGAAAGCCUGAUCCAGCAAUGCCGCGUGAGUGAUGAAGGCCUUAGGGUUGUAAAGCUCCUUUACCCGGGAUGAUAAGGACAGUACCGGGAGAAUAAGCUCCGGCUAACUCCGU